RNAcentral lists this ribosomal RNA (374 nucleotides) under Theileria annulata. RNAcentral describes it as "SSU rRNA". It matches the Rfam family "Eukaryotic small subunit ribosomal RNA", at positions 453 to 867 of the family's 1831-position model. The record is from RNAcentral. Lineage: Eukaryota; Apicomplexa; Aconoidasida; Piroplasmida; Theileriidae.
UACACAGGGAGGUAGUGACAAGAAAUAACAAUACGGGGCUUAAAGUCUUGUAAUUGGAAUGAUGGGAAUUUAAACCUCUUCCAGAGUAUCAAUUGGAGGGCAAGUCUGGUGCCAGCAGCCGCGGUAAUUCCAGCUCCAAUAGCGUAUAUUAAAAUUGUUGCAGUUAAAAAGCUCGUAGUUGAAUUUCUGCUGCAUUGCUUGUGUCCCUCUGGGGUCUGUGCAUGUGGCUUUUUUCGGACGGAGUUUCUUUGUCUGAAUGUUUACUUUGAGAAAAUUAGAGUGCUCAAAGCAGGCUUUCGCCUUGAAUAGUUUAGCAUGGAAUAAUAAAGUAGGACUUUGGUUCUAUUUUGUUGGUUUUAGGUACCAAAGUNAUG